This 201-nucleotide ribosomal RNA is filed under the name uncultured bacterium. RNAcentral's name for it is "partial 16S ribosomal RNA". It matches the Rfam family "Bacterial small subunit ribosomal RNA", at positions 28 to 212 of the family's 1533-position model. The record is from RNAcentral.
GACGAACGCUGGCGGCGUGCUUAACACAUGCAAGUCGAGCGGUAAGGCCCUUUCGGGGGUACGACGAGCGGCGAACGGGUAGGAGUAACAACGUGGGUGGACCUCGCCCUCCAGCUCUGGGAGUAAGACCCGGGAAACCGUAGGGUCGUAAUAACUGGAGUAUGACUCCAUGACGCAUGUUGUGGGGUGGGAAAGACCUUG